GUCAGCCGCCGCGGGAACACCGGCGGCCCGAGUGGUGAUCGUGAUUAUUGGGUCUAAAGGGUCCGUAGCCGGUUGGUCAGUCCUCCGGGAAAUCUGAUAGCUCAACUAUUAGGCUUUCGGGGGAUACUGCCAGACUGGAACCGGGAGAGGUAAGAGGUACUACAGGGGUAGGAGUGAAAUCUUGUAAUCCCUGUGGGACCACCUGUGGCGAAGGCGUCUUACCAGAACGGGUUCGACGGUGAGGGACGAAAGCUGGGGGCACGAACCGGAUUAGAUACCCGGGUAGUCCCAGCCGUAAACGAUGCUCGCUAGGUGUCAGGCAUGGCGCGACCGUGUCUGGUGCCGCAGGGAAGCCGUGAAGCGAGCCACCUGGGAAGUACGGCCGCAAGGCUGAAACUUAAAGGAAUUGGCGGGGGAGCACAACAACGGGUGGAGCCCUGCGGUUUAAUUGGACUCAACGCCGGACAACUCACCGGGGGCGACAGCAAUAUGUAGGCCAAGCUGAAGACUUUGCCUGAAUCGCUGAGAAGUGGUGCAUGG
This 540-nucleotide ribosomal RNA is filed under the name uncultured archaeon. Its description in RNAcentral is "bacterial SSU rRNA". It matches the Rfam family "Archaeal small subunit ribosomal RNA", at positions 457 to 997 of the family's 1478-position model. The record is from RNAcentral.